UUUUAGCUAUAGCUUUAUCAGAAACUUAAGUGAAACGGCAAGAACCACUUCGUCGCCCUAUCCCCUGAUGUACUGCUUUUGAGUGUCCAGUUUAAUGCCAGCUUGUCCUUUGAGAAAUACCGACUCGGCUGAAGUCAGGCAAUUUCAAUAAAAAAACACUUAACUAUUAAUUUCUGCGUGCCUUCAUAUGCUAUCUUCAGAAGAUUUUUUGUGCUGAAAUUGGCUAGUAAUCGUCCUUUAGUCUAAUCCCCAAUAAAUUCUCAGUUGUCUAAGCUGGCAUUUAUAUCUUGGAUCCGUUUUCAAUCUUUUUUUUCCUACAAAGAACUUCAGAACCCAGCAUAUUAUUACUCUGAAUUUUUUCACUAUUUUUAAUUAAGAUCAGUUAGAGUUUAUCAGAAAAUGAUAGGCAAGUUAGUCAAGUUACUGUCAUGUGAAGGAUUUGGUAGCUAUCUAUGUAAUGCGCCUACUUGAGUCUCUUAGGCCCCAUUUGAUAACAAGUGAAUGAGUGGAUUGCUGGCUCAUUCAGAACCUCGUCCCGUUAAGAUCAUUUGUUUAGCAGUUAUUUCAACUAGACGAUACAAGAAAAGCGCUGGACGACAGAGCCUAACUUACCUUCACUCAAUCGUCCAGCUAAUAAUCCUCCUCUACUCCUCUUCUCUCUUUGAUAACAAUAAUAAUUACUGCCACAUUUUUUCCCUUUUAAAAAUCGUUUGAAUAAUGUUUUUUUAUAUACUUGUUUGUUGUUGAAUAUAUAAAUAUUUUUUUAAGAUGUCAAAUUUACCAAUUUUCUUAUAACCUUUUUUAAUUUAUGUUUUAUUAAUAUAUAAAUUAAAAUGGAGGAAAAAGUGAUGAAUGAACAAGAGAAUAAAUUUUUUAUUAAUAAAAAUGAAUACAGAACCGAAAGAAGGCUCCUACAAAUAUAACGUUAGUCAUUUACAGGAAUAUAUUUAAAAAUAAUCACCAUCCAGAUAAAUUUAAAUAAUUAUUAACAAAUAACAAUCAUUCAUUCAGAAAUUCAGAUUAACUAUUCAUCCAGAUUUCCCGUCAUCCAAAAUCAGCUAUCCAGAUUUAACAAAUGACCCCUUAGUGCCGCAGGUUUUGUCAUUCUUUUGUCAGGCUUCUAUUUUUAUAUCUCCCUAACCUUGGGUUAGAUGUCAUUUGUUGGACAAAAUUACAAUUAUUUAGUAGUUUCUUUCAGAAUUCCCUCCAAACAUGGAAAAAUUAUCGAAAUCAUUAAUAAUUAAACGGUUUUUCUAUGGUGUGCCCAUGGGCACAUGUUAAGCGCGGAAAUUUUUGUGUUUAGAUCAUUUUGAUUGGCUACUACUUCUUAAUAAUGGUGGACCCUCUGCAAAUACACCAACC
RNAcentral lists this long non-coding RNA (1362 nucleotides) under Daucus carota (carrot). Its description in RNAcentral is "long non-coding RNA (DCAR_LNC004954)". The record is from RNAcentral. Lineage: Eukaryota; Viridiplantae; Streptophyta; Magnoliopsida; Apiales; Apiaceae.